This 543-nucleotide unclassified non-coding RNA is filed under the name Leishmania donovani. RNAcentral describes it as "gene:unknown". The record is from RNAcentral. Lineage: Eukaryota; Euglenozoa; Kinetoplastea; Trypanosomatida; Trypanosomatidae.
GGGAAAAAACGAAACGAACCCUGAACAACAGAGAAAAAGCGCGCCGCAUCUAAGCCUGCGGACUUGCCCUCAUCCGAAGGCACGUACAAGCCUUCUUUUUGCUGCCUCUUCGGCAAGUAGCGCGCACACAAGCUUCUUGCGGCGUGGGGACUCCCUCCUGCUCCUCCGCCUUCCCACGAACAUGACCCCUGGCGGUCAUCGCGUUAUCUGGACAUACAAAACUAGCAAUGCAUAUGCACAAGAAAGGACAGCACCACAUCUGUGACUACAAGCUACUCUUUCCUCCUCCUGUUUACAUAUUUCUUGGUGCUCGUGCGGUGCUCUGUGCCCCACUACACUCUUUACGUACUUCCCUGGCCGGCUCCUUGUCCCCCUAAACACACGAAUAAAUAUUUGACGAUACAACACACGCCCGCCCCCGUUGCAUACCCGUACACGCAACAACGUUGUCUGUGUGUGCUGAUGCCCUUGACGCGGUCCUCGCUGGCCGCUCCCCAACACAAUCCCAAUCUCUUAUUCGCCAACCAACGGGCACCGACCAAG